Molecule: ribosomal RNA, 253 nt
Filed under: uncultured bacterium
Lineage: Bacteria
Description: partial 16S ribosomal RNA
Rfam family: Bacterial small subunit ribosomal RNA
Source: RNAcentral
UACAGAGGUCUCAAGCGUUGUUCGGAUUCAUUGGGCGUAAAGGGUGCGUAGGCGGCGCGGUAAGUCGGGUGUGAAAUCUUGGAGCUUAACUCCGAAACUGCAUUCGAUACUGCCGUGCUUGAGGACUGGAGAGGAGACUGGAAUUUACGGUGUAGCGGUGAAAUGCGUAGAUAUCGUAAGGAAGACCAGUGGCGAAGGCGGGUCUCUGGACAGUUCCUGACGCUGAGGCACGAAGGUCAGGGGAGCAAACGGG